Long non-coding RNA from Centruroides sculpturatus (bark scorpion), 910 nucleotides. RefSeq lists it as uncharacterized. NCBI's taxonomy places the organism in Eukaryota, Metazoa, Arthropoda, Arachnida, Scorpiones, Buthidae. The record is from RefSeq and is a predicted model, not a curated record. The transcript has 3 exons.
UUCAUCUGUAAACUAUUUGUCAUUACCUUUGUUUCUCUCUUUCAAAUUCUUAUAUAAUUAUUGAAUUCACGCAAAGAAAAUUUGACGAAUUGCUGUGUUUAUUGUGUGUACUUUUAUUCUCUAGUUUCUGAUAAUCAAAUGGACGAUGAUAAUAGAAUUAAAUGUUCCUCGUCUGAUCUAAAAGAUAUUAAUGCGGACGAUUUCGAUAAAAAUUUAAAUGUUAUUCCCAUCGACGAACCUGAAAUGGAAACAAGAAUCACAGAAAUAAAAUGUGAAAAAACUACUGAUGACUUAGAAGAAAGUAAAUUGUCUUCUGAUUCCGAUGACAUAAAAGGAUUUUAUUUUUGUUCGUCAGAGGAUCAAAUAACUCCUUUUAAACGCAAGAGAAGACCAUUGAAAACAGCAUUUGUAUAUUUAGAAACAUAUUCUUUGGCCAAAGGAACCAUCAAAGAAGAAGAGGAAUUGGGCCAUGAAUCGUCCGAAGAUGACGUGAGUUCUACCAACAGCGAUACUGACGUCACGUCCAAAUAUUCAUUAGAGAGGUUGCAGCCGACGUUUUCAUCGUGAAAAUGUGUACAUCGGACGUUCAGCGCCGCAUUCCUGUAAGCCUAGAAGUUUGACAAUGGAGUUUAGAACGUCGACCAUGAUUCCACUGACGUUCCAAAUGCCAUUGUCAAACUUCUAGGCUUACAGGAAUGCGGCACUGAACGUCCGAUGUACACGUUUUUCCGAUGGAAACGUCGGCCGCAACCUCUAUUUGCAUUAAGUGAAGAAGUGAAAGUAUUGGAUCAAGAAACUAAUGAGAAGAAAGAAACGAUGGAGGAAAACAGAGUUAAUUCAAUCGGAAGCCGAAGAAAAUUCUUGUGGAUCUUCACCCAAGGUGGAUCAGUGACAGAUGAUGAUGGCAGAG